RNAcentral lists this long non-coding RNA (383 nucleotides) under Bos grunniens (domestic yak). RNAcentral describes it as "lncRNA (ENSBGRG00000025553.1)". The record is from RNAcentral. Lineage: Eukaryota; Metazoa; Chordata; Mammalia; Artiodactyla; Bovidae.
CAAUGUUACACAACUAUGAAGUGGCAGAGCUGGAUUUUGAACCUGAGCUUAUCUGAGUUCAGAGUCCAUGCACGCAACUAACCAAUGGACUAUUUGCAAGUCAGGUCAUGGAAAGGCAUGAUAGCAUAGUGUGGCUCAAGGCACAGAGCAUAUGGAAAGCAGGAAUGACAGCUGUGGCUGAAUUACGGAGCAUCUUAUUGACUUGUAAGAGCUUCAGAAGAUGGCGGAGGAGUAGGACAGAGAGAACACUUUCUCCCCCACAAAUUCAUCAAAAGAGCAUUUAAACGUCGAGUAAAUUCCACAAAACAACUUCUGAAUGCCGGCAGAGGACAUCAGGCACCCAGAAAAGCAAUCCAACUCUUCGAAAGGAGGUAGGAAAAAUA